This 26-nucleotide non-coding RNA is filed under the name Homo sapiens (human). The record is from RNAcentral. Lineage: Eukaryota; Metazoa; Chordata; Mammalia; Primates; Hominidae.
UGAGUCCCGGUGUCUGAGCAUUUCCU